GCUCCGCCCGGGCCCGGCUCAGCCAGGCCCCGCGGUGAGCCAUGAUUCGCCUCGGGGCUCUCCAGACGCUGGUGCUGCUGACGCUGCUCGUCGCCGCUGUCCUUCGGUGUCAGGGCCAGGAUGUCCAUUGUAAAUCAAUCGCAGAGGGAAACUCUUCGGCGGGGGGAAUAAAAGUUCUCUGCCUUCGAGGCUCUGUGGGCCCUGUCCUGCCACCAGGCUGUUUCCAGGGAUAGCGUGGAAGGCGGCGGGCUCAGGCGGGCUUUCCGGUCAUUAGCGCAGCGGGGGCAGGGCUGGAGCCUGCGGCGCAGCUGCGAGGAGCCGGGAGCAGGAGACUCUGGCCGGGUCACCCGGUAGUGCGCUAAGCUGGAGGCGCUCUCCUGGGCAUUUGAGGAAUACAGCGUGACUAUACGUGGCCUGGACUCAGACUGACUAUAUUUUUGUACUCAAUUUACAAGUACACGCCCACAAAGCUGUCUUCUUGACUGACCCCUGCCUUAGUGCGCAAUGGAAUUAGCUGGGUGGCUUUAAAAUAAUUCUCAAAUUCUC
Molecule: small RNA, 546 nt
Filed under: Pan troglodytes (chimpanzee)
Lineage: Eukaryota; Metazoa; Chordata; Mammalia; Primates; Hominidae
Description: processed transcript
Source: RNAcentral